Long non-coding RNA from Tarenaya hassleriana, 1250 nucleotides. RefSeq lists it as uncharacterized. The transcript is spliced from 2 exons. NCBI's taxonomy places the organism in Eukaryota, Viridiplantae, Streptophyta, Magnoliopsida, Brassicales, Cleomaceae. The record is from RefSeq and is a predicted model, not a curated record.
GAUUGACGGUGUGUGUAAUCUUCCGGCCCAUGUCUUCUUCCGCAGUUUGUUUUUCGUUCGUCCCUCGCAAAACCCUAACUUCAUAGAUGCGGUGAUUUCCGGGUUCGAGUAUUUGGGUGGUGAGAAGAAGGGUCGAUAAGGCACGAGAUGCAGUGAGGUUUUGCUAUUCUUGGUGGUCAUUUUGAUCUACCCUUUGGAUGGUGUUCAAUGUUCAUGGUCCAAUCAAUUUCUCUUCGUAAUUUCUGAUGCCCCAUUGAUUUCUAUGCUAUGUAGCAGAAAAUGGAUAUGGGUCCUUGCCCAAAGGUCCACUCUUUGCAGCUCCGAAAAUCGUAUCAUUUUUUGGGAACUUUCAACUCUUUCUCACUUGCUCUAAGCAUGGAGCUCACAUUCUCUAGUAUCCGUGAUAAGCUGCUUCUAUGAUACCUAUUUCCCUUAUUUAGUCAAUUGCUCAAUGCGGUAUCCGAGACAUUCAUUGCCUCAUGAAAUUGUUUCGAGCAACUUUUUUAACCUUAAUGGCACAUGAGUGACAUGAUAGGCUGAUAGCUUCACAAUCAGUAUUUCAUUGGCUAAGUUGUUGGCAGUGUUUACAUUUUGACUAUUCACCUUCAGUUUAUUCUUGAUGUACUUUUAUCCUGUCUAACUCGAGCUUAUGAAAUUAAUCAUGAAGAGUGACUCGGCGUUUGGAGUAUAGGCAGAGUUGUUAUUGGAAGAUGCUAUAGACAGGUUGAUUUUUGAGUGUGAUAGGAAGAUUGGCAGAGCCAUUAAGCAUCUUCAGGAAGAGGAUGCCAAAGCUGCCAUCGCAAUUUCGCAUCUGAAGUCACCCUGAUCAAAGGAGCGGAGUAGGGAUCGGGAAUCGAGAAGAGACAGAGGCGGAGGAGACUGUCGGGGAGGAAGAGAUCACGAUAGUUACCAUGACCGUGAACACAUGGCAGAGACUUUGACUGAUCCCGAAGCUAUGAUUCGAGAAGUCAGUGUGGGUCGUGCUCCCGCUCCAAGGAAGGGGCUAUGAUCUCCACAGGUACUGAUUGCAUCAUACAUAACACAUCCACAUAGUAAUUUCAAUAUCUAUCUGAAAGAUAAGAGAAUGAUGAUCAGAAGUCCUAGUUACAGGGAUAGGUCAAAAGGAGAGAAUUAUAUGUGAAUGUAACACGUUGGAAUCCGCUUUUGGAUUUGUGGGUAGAAUUGCAUUAUCAAUUCAAGACACAUUCUGGAACUCAAGAUUCUCUUAAUCUCUUUUCCAUUUGUCUCUU